This is a long non-coding RNA of Manis pentadactyla (Chinese pangolin), 434 nucleotides long. RefSeq lists it as uncharacterized. The transcript is spliced from 3 exons. NCBI's taxonomy places the organism in Eukaryota, Metazoa, Chordata, Mammalia, Pholidota, Manidae. The record is from RefSeq and is a predicted model, not a curated record.
AAGAUAGUUUGCUUUUCUAUUUUACAGAAUCAGAGAAUCAUAGAAUCGGAAGGAUCUUGGCAUCCCCACCUUUCUCUCCAAAGCUUUUGUUCCACAUGUCAAGCAGCAGGAUACUAGGUCAUCUCUGCAGUGGUGACAAGAUACCUACCUGGCUGGAUCCCCUUGUGUCUGAUAAUAGUACUGCCAUUCUUUCUUCAUCCUAGCAUGGCAUACAUUGCAAAUGCAUGGUCUCCGUUGCCGUGUUUGAUGGAAACUUGCUGCAGGCAACUUGCUGAAUCAAAAGCACCCGGGAAAGGUUUUCCCAUCAUUGUCCAAGACAGGCUUCCUCUUGCCCUGUCCCGUCCAUCCUGCCGCACACAAGUCCAUUACUUUGUGUUCUGACCUCGCCAAAGACGGUUACUCUUCAGGCUGUCCUGCCUGCAGUCAGAGCUGCC